Astatotilapia calliptera (eastern happy) is the source of this 1700-nucleotide long non-coding RNA. NCBI's taxonomy places the organism in Eukaryota, Metazoa, Chordata, Actinopteri, Cichliformes, Cichlidae. The record is from Ensembl.
UGUGAUCAUCACUGUUGCAUUGCCAGCAAGGCAAGGACACAGAUAUCAAACUUCGGAAAAGUCAAAAACCUCUCAGAGUCAGAGCUGACUGCCGGAUUUAUUCUGAGUCAUUCACGGCGACAGAUACUCACGAGUAGGAGAUUAGUCAGGCGGCAGAUCGGGUGUAUUUCACAGCAGAAUAUGUGAGAACUACAGGCGCGUAUAAUGUGAAGCAGAAGUACACACAUGUAUUUGGUAGCACAUUUAUUUUGACACAAAAUCCACAGUUUUCUGUUCAAUAGAGUUAAGCAGACGUCUGCGUCCAAUAUCGCAGAAUCUCAGUGAUGAUCAGUGAGAUGGAAGAAAUCUAAAUACAACCCCACCUUCUAAAAAACAAAAAACAAAACAAAAAAAACCCCCCAAACAAACAAAGCAAAAAAACAUGAUGGUGUGCAACCAAACAGACACAACAAACGUGAGAACAUCUCACUCAGUAUGCAUCGGAAACCUCUGAAUCUGCUUUACACCAAGAUACAAAAUCAACUUGAUAUCCAUGAUGACACGAAAAAGUUUUGGCUUUUUUUUUUUUAAAUCGACAGUUAUUAUGUUAACAUUAUACUCAACAUUAUCCUCACAAUAAGCGACAGUGAUUUUUAACAAGAAAACGGCACGGUUACUCUCUCACACAUACGUACGACACGCUGAAGAGCCGCAGGUAGAAUUGCACAAAGAUACCUUCAAAGUACACCACAUGUUGUAGUAAUAUUAAUCGGAACUAUUCCAUGUACAGUCACAUAUACAUACUGCUAUAUAUGCUGCUGUCUCGUAGCUGCAGGAGUAGAAGGAGACAGUCUUGAGUUAUCCUGAAUCAAAAGGAUUGGAUGUUUUGUUUUUUGUUUUCUGGCAAAAUGGUUCAACGGCUGUACCAAUGUGAGGUUUGGUUUUUUUUUUUGUAUUUUUAUUCAAUUCUUUAACUUUUGGCAUUACAAAAUAAAAUCAGUACAAAUAUAUAGUAGAUACUAUCUUCAGAAGGAGAGAACAGUCCUUUACAGUCAAAACUCGAGCGAGGUAACAGUCUUAUAUCAGGCCUUGGCCAAAGAGUGGUAACAAAGGUAAAAUCUGGGGCAUAUUUCUCCACACAAAUUGGCUUCUGACAAGGCGAGACAAAUCAAACCGCUUCUAUUUACACUGACGUCAAAUGAAAGCAGGAGUCGGGAUACAAUAAACCCCAGUGUGUGACUCCUAUGUUUCACCAUCUUGUUCAGGUUCAGUCAUAGAAAUUAAACAUCCAUCCAUCCAUCCGCUUUCCACCAGCUCAUCUGGGGCUGGAUCAAAAGGGAAUCCCAAACCUCCCUCUCCCCAGCCACCUCCUUCAGCUCAUUCGGGGAAAGCACCGAGGCAUUCCCAGGCAGUGCUGAGGGACGUAGUGUCUCCGGCGUGGCCUGGGCCUACCCCGGGGCCUCUUUCCACGGGGGCAUGCCCAGGAAAUCUCAGCUAGUAUCCGAUAGAUCCACACGCUAACUUUGUGUUUUUGUUAAUAGCUUCUAUGCCGGUAGUGCAGUGGUUGAACCUGUUGCCUCACAGCAAGAAGGUCUUGGGUUCAAAUCCAUGAAGUGUUUCUGGGAGUCUGCGUGUUUUCCCUGUUCUUUCUGGCUUACUCUCAGACUCCAAGCAUUGUAAAUUGCCCAUUCAUAUGAAUAUGAGACUGGCAACGUGUCCAG